GACGGGGACCCGCACAAGCGGUGGAUGAUGUGGAUUAAUUCGAUGCAACGCGAAAAACCUUACCUACCCUUGACAUGCAUGGAAUCCCGAAGAGAUUUGGGAGUGCUCGAAAGAGAACCAUCACACAGGUGCUGCAUGUCUGUCGUCAGCUCGUGUCGUGAGAUGUUGGGUUAAGUCCCGCAACGAGCGCAACCCYUAUCCUCAGUAGCCAGCAUUUAAGGUGGGCACUCUGGGGAGACUGCCAGGGAUAACCUGGAGGAAGGCRGGGAUGACGUCAAAUCAUCAUGCCCUUAUGAUUUUGGGCUACACACGUGCUACAAUGGCGUAAACAAAGGGAAGCGAGAUUGUGAGAUGGAGCAAUCCCAAAAAUAACGUCCCAGUUCGGACUGUAGUCUGCAACCCGACUACACGAAGCUGGAAUCGCUAGUAAUCGCGGAUCAGAAUGCCGCGGUGAAUACGUUCCCGGGUCUUGUACACACCGC
RNAcentral lists this ribosomal RNA (482 nucleotides) under uncultured bacterium. RNAcentral's name for it is "bacterial SSU rRNA". It matches the Rfam family "Bacterial small subunit ribosomal RNA", at positions 912 to 1393 of the family's 1533-position model. The record is from RNAcentral.